RNAcentral lists this transfer RNA (73 nucleotides) under Actinophytocola oryzae. It matches the Rfam family "tRNA". Rfam says of the family: Transfer RNA (tRNA) molecules are approximately 80 nucleotides in length. Their secondary structure includes four short double-helical elements and three loops (D, anti-codon, and T loops). Lineage: Bacteria; Bacillati; Actinomycetota; Actinomycetes; Pseudonocardiales; Pseudonocardiaceae. The record is from Rfam by way of RNAcentral.
GCCCUCGUAGCCCAACGGUAGAGGCGCCGGACUCAGAAUCCGGCCAGUCCAGGUUCGAAUCCUGGUGGGGGCA